GAUGAACGCUGGCGGCGUGCCUAAUACAUGCAAGUCGAGCGAACAGACGAGGAGCUUGCUCCUCUGACGUUAGCGGCGGACGGGUGAGUAACACGUGGAUAACCUACCUAUAAGACUGGGAUAACUUCGGGAAACCGGAGCUAAUACCGGAUAAUAUAUUGAACCGCAUGGUUCAAUAGUGAAAGACGGUUUUGCUGUCACUUAUAGAUGGAUCCGCGCCGCAUUAGCUAGUUGGUAAGGUAACGGCUUACCAAGGCAACGAGACGCAGCCGACCUGAGAGGGUGGUCGGCAACAGUGGAACUGAGACACGAGCCAGACCCCUACGGGAGGCAGCAGUAGGGAAGCUUCCGCAAGGGGCGAAAUCCUGACGGAUCAACGCAGCGUGAGUAAGAAAGGUCUUCGGACCGGAAAACUCUUUUAGUAGGGAAAAACAAAUGGGUAAGUAACUAGGCACGUCUUGACGGUACCUAAUCAGAAAGCCACGGCUAACUACGUC
This 497-nucleotide ribosomal RNA is filed under the name uncultured bacterium. Its description in RNAcentral is "partial 16S ribosomal RNA". It matches the Rfam family "Bacterial small subunit ribosomal RNA", at positions 28 to 507 of the family's 1533-position model. The record is from RNAcentral.